RNAcentral lists this ribosomal RNA (473 nucleotides) under Dyella koreensis. Its description in RNAcentral is "bacterial SSU rRNA". It matches the Rfam family "Bacterial small subunit ribosomal RNA", at positions 66 to 531 of the family's 1533-position model. Lineage: Bacteria; Pseudomonadati; Pseudomonadota; Gammaproteobacteria; Lysobacterales; Rhodanobacteraceae. The record is from RNAcentral.
GCAGCACAGCAGUAGCAAUACUGUGGGUGGCGAGUGGCGGACGGGUGAGUAAUGCAUCGGGAUUUGCCCAGACGUGGGGGAUAACGUAGGGAAACUUACGCUAAUACCGCAUACGUCCUACGGGAGAAAGCGGGGGAUCUUCGGACCUCGCGCGGUUGGAUGAACCGAUGUCUGAUUAGCUAGUUGGUGAGGUAACGGCUCACCAAGGCGACGAUCAGUAACUGGUCUGACAGGAUGAUCAGCCACACUGGGACUGAGACACGGCCCAGACUCCUACGGGAGGCAGCAGUGGGGAAUAUUGCUACAAUGGGCGCAAGCCUGAUCCAGCAAUGCCGCGUGUGUGAAUAAGGCCUUCGGGUUGUAAAGCACUUUUAUCAGGAGCGAAAUACCACGGGCUAAUACCCUAUGGGGCUGACGGUCCUGAGGAAUAAGCACCGGCUAACUUCGUGCCAGCAGCCGCGGUAAUACGAAGG